RNAcentral lists this ribosomal RNA (593 nucleotides) under Bacillus amyloliquefaciens. RNAcentral describes it as "bacterial SSU rRNA". It matches the Rfam family "Bacterial small subunit ribosomal RNA", at positions 82 to 661 of the family's 1533-position model. The record is from RNAcentral. Lineage: Bacteria; Bacillati; Bacillota; Bacilli; Caryophanales; Bacillaceae.
CUCACCGCAGCGUGCAGCGGACGGGUGAGUACACGUGGGUAACCUGCCUGUAAGACUGGGAUAACUCCGGGAAACCGGGGCUAAUACCGGAUGCUUGUUUGAACCGCAUGGUUCAGACAUAAAAGGUGGCUUCGGCUACCACUUACAGAUGGACCCGCGGCGCAUUAGCUAGUUGGUGAGGUAACGGCUCACCAAGGCAACGAUGCGUAGCCGACCUGAGAGGGUGAUCGGCCACACUGGGACUGAGACACGGCCCAGACUCCUACGGGAGGCAGCAGUAGGGAAUCUUCCGCAAUGGACGAAAGUCUGACGGAGCAACGCCGCGUGAGUGAUGAAGGUUUUCGGAUCGUAAAGCUCUGUUGUUAGGGAAGAACAAGUGCCGUUCAAAUAGGGCGGCACCUUGACGGUACCUAACCAGAAAGCCACGGCUAACUACGUGCCAGCAGCCGCGGUAAUACGUAGGUGGCAAGCGUUGUCCGGAAUUAUUGGGCGUAAAGGGCUCGCAGGCGGUUUCUUAAGUCUGAUGUGAAAGCCCCCGGCUCAACCGGGGAGGGCUGGGAAAAAAAUGGGGAAUAUCCUUUACCGGACGAUAA